This 253-nucleotide ribosomal RNA is filed under the name uncultured bacterium. Its description in RNAcentral is "partial 16S ribosomal RNA". It matches the Rfam family "Bacterial small subunit ribosomal RNA", at positions 524 to 776 of the family's 1533-position model. The record is from RNAcentral.
UACGAAGGGGGCUAGCGUUGCUCGGAAUCACUGGGCGUAAAGCGCACGUAGGCGGAUCCUUAAGUCGGGGGUGAAAUCCUGGAGCUCAACUCCAGAACUGCCUUCGAUACUGAGGAUCUCGAGUCCGGGAGAGGUGAGUGGAACUGCGAGUGUAGAGGUGAAAUUCGUAGAUAUUCGCAAGAACACCAGUGGCGAAGGCGGCUCACUUGCCCGGUACUGACGCUGAGGUGCGAAAGCGUGGGGAGCAAACAGG